RNAcentral lists this small RNA (29 nucleotides) under Bombyx mori (domestic silkworm). RNAcentral describes it as "piRNA piR-bmo-1808597". Lineage: Eukaryota; Metazoa; Arthropoda; Insecta; Lepidoptera; Bombycidae. The record is from RNAcentral.
UACAACGAUUGUGCAACGAUGUGAACGUC